RNAcentral lists this ribosomal RNA (517 nucleotides) under uncultured Marinomonas sp. Its description in RNAcentral is "bacterial SSU rRNA". It matches the Rfam family "Bacterial small subunit ribosomal RNA", at positions 60 to 566 of the family's 1533-position model. Lineage: Bacteria; Pseudomonadati; Pseudomonadota; Gammaproteobacteria; Oceanospirillales; Oceanospirillaceae. The record is from RNAcentral.
AGUCGAGCGGUAACAGGAAUUAGCUUGCUAAUUUGCUGACGAGCGGCGGACGGGUGAGUAACGCGUAGGAAUCUGCCUGGUAGUGGGGGACAACAUGUGGAAACGCAUGCUAAUACCGCAUACGCCCUACGGGGGAAAGGAGGGGAUCUUCGGACCUUUCGCUAUCAGAUGAGCCUGCGUGAGAUUAGCUAGUUGGUGGGGUAAAGGCUCACCAAGGCGACGAUCUCUAGCUGGUCUGAGAGGAUGAUCAGCCACACUGGGACUGAGACACGGCCCAGACUCCUACGGGAGGCAGCAGUGGGGAAUAUUGGACAAUGGGCGCAAGCCUGAUCCAGCCAUGCCGCGUGUGUGAAGAAGGCCUUAGGGUUGUAAAGCACUUUCAGGAGUGAGGAAGGGUGUACGGUUAAUACCCGUAUAUUUUGACGUUAGCUCCAGAAGAAGCACCGGCUAACUCUGUGCCAGCAGCCGCGGUAAUACAGAGGGUGCAAGCGUUAAUCGGAAUUACUGGGCGUAAAGC